Long non-coding RNA from Lethenteron reissneri (Far Eastern brook lamprey), 5407 nucleotides. RefSeq lists it as uncharacterized. Lineage: Eukaryota; Metazoa; Chordata; Hyperoartia; Petromyzontiformes; Petromyzontidae. The record is from RefSeq and is a predicted model, not a curated record.
AUAAACUGAUACUUUGAAUGGAGUUUAUAAUACAGCAUGGCCUACGUGUAACGCAUCAUAUACCAUGUAGACAGCACCAUGAAAGUGUGUGCCGUAUAAUACAGAGUAUGUGUAAAGGAGCAUAGCCUGUGCACGUACUGCAGAGUUACUUUGAACUGAAACGUGGCAUGGCCGUUAUGUGUAGAACAGCAUUUCUUGUGUAUAUGUAGUGGGUUCCCACGGAGACUGGAGACGUAGCUUAGAGGCAACACGGUUUAUUUAAAUCUUAUAACAGAAGCCCCUUUUACUCCCACUACUUGGGGAGGUAUGGCCUCCGGGCUAACGUGCCCUAUCACUGGGGCUACGGGCUCUGAGUCCUCCGACUAAGGGUGGCCUAGGGGAGGCUAUGCUGACCCGACCCAGCCAAGGUGCGGGUCUCAACCACUGGUCCGUGCUCGGCCCCGCCCCUUAAAAGGACGUCGGGUCCCAGGGUCCCAGGGUCCUAGCCUAGCCGGUCUUCAGUCUUCGUCUUCAGAGCACUGCCUCGGGCCGUCCUGGGGUCCGUCUUUUAUACCCACCUCGGGGACUCUCCACCCCCGGUACCGCCCCCUUUCUGGAACCUUCCAGGUGGCUUUGGAAUAACCCCCCAACCCCUCACCUGUGGUCGGGGGGGGGGAACUCGGCCUCUCAACGGUCCCGGUUCUCUCUCUAACUCACGGUGGCACCCCCUGCAGACUCGUGCCCGCAACUACAGGUGUGAUGGGCUGCUGCUGCUGCACCUGUUGACGUUGAUGUCGGGGCAGGCAGAGUCCUCGCUCCGGGUCCCCGUGGCGUUGCUCCGGGGGAACGUGCAGAAGAAGGCGUUGGCCAGGAGGCAGGCGGCCUGCUCCUGAGACAUCGUCAGCAUCAAGCCGGUGUCCCGGCGGAGCAGCGGCAGGGGCUGGGGACACGUGCGGUGCACAGGGCGCAGCGACGUCACACGCGGCAACGGGUGGCACGGGGUUGCAGAGGAGCAACGGCGCAAUGGUAACACCGAUGCAGAGCACUGAGCCUGCAGCACUGGGAUGCUGGGGUCUGGAUCAAGGAGUUAUGAAAUUCACGUAAAACAGAUGAUUGUUGUACACGUGAGGUUAAUGCUGCAGCCCUGCAAUUACUUGCUCAUGCAACUGCUGGUGAAAGAACCUCCACUAGAGGGAGGUCUAGAGUGCCGAUCCGGUGGGUAUGUUUUGGCCAACUUUUCCACACUGACCAUUCGUCUUGAAAGAGGUGGGAGUACUCGCCAUUUAUCCCACUGCACGCGACCCACCGAUGGACUGUGGGUGGACAAAACAGGGAAUUGUAAGAAUCCUGGUCAAUGUUUUCAAGGCCAGGCUGGGAGAUCGAACCGCGACAUUUGAAGUCAAUCGUGACAACCAUCCCACAGUCAUGGCAGCAGCCCUUUUGCAGAAAUAAAAUAAAAUAUUGGAGAGGGCUUCACACAAGAAACAAGAAGAUUUAGUGGUUUGGAUGUGGCUCUCCAAUGAGUACAGAUAGGGUACCACAAGUAGCGGUGCAUACUCGGGCACAAAGAAAUAGAAGCAGAGACAAAGAAUGAGAUAGAUCGAUGCAAUAAAGAAUUGGCAGUGGUGCACCAAGCACGACCCCUUGCUGAGCGCUGCAGCAGCAGCCCCCCCCCCCACCCCCGGACCCCUCCCCCACCCUCCACUUCUCACCCUGACGCCACACAACCCGUGGGUAGGCGAUGCCCUCUGGUGGACAAGGCGCGGUACAGGCGGCAGCACGAGACGCCAGCAGCGUUGCGCUGCCAGGGUUACUCACCCGAACACCUCCGUACACUUACACACACCUACACACACCUCUAUACACCUCUAUACACUCACACACACCUACACACUUACAAAGACAAAGAUCCCCCGUAUAGCCUUAACAGACUGUAGAGGCAAGUGUUGUUAGCGAGCACCUAUGAAGGCCGGAACGGUACACGAGGGGGUGGGUGGCCAGCACCACGCCCGACCGCCUUUGUCUCCCCAGUGGCGAUGUUUACACACCGCACCAGGUACUCAUUUAAGGCUGAGUCGACCUAGGGGAGGCCCAGGACCGGUUCAGAUAAUCGUCACUGGUGUUAGCCGUGAGUGGGAAUCGAACCCGGGUCGCCAGGUUCAUAGCGCAGCGCGCUAACUGCUACACUACCGCUCCCCACACACCUACACACACACACCUCUACACACUUACACACCUACACACACACACACCUAUACAACAACAACCGCCAUUCGCCACUAAGUGGCGGUGACGUCACCACGACGCUUGUGCCAGGCCAAGUGCACCUUGAGGCCACGUGAAGUGUCGAACGCCCGCUGGCAGGAGGUCACGGGGCAGACCCAGCAGGUGCCACGGGUCGACUGACCGAGAUGACCGAGAUGACUGGCUGAUGCACCACCUGUGGCCCCCUACUGUACCAACUUGCUGUGCUUUAGCCACCCGGCGCUCCGCUCGUUGUUGUGAGCGUCGCUCCUCCACCCUCCGUUGUUGUUGGAGGGCGACUGCCUCCAACUGCCCAGUAGCGUCCUUCACGAGCCUCCUCCACUGAGGCCGAUCUUGAUACCGCUGGUACCAGUCAUCGGCAAGUCCACUCAGCUCCACGUCCUCCUGUACCACAUCACUCCAUCUCUUCUCUAGCCCGCGCCGCGCCCGUUUAGCCCCCUUGAUUUUAGGCAUGCAGUAGCUGGGCAUGCGUGCUACAUGACCCAGCCAACGCAGCCUUGCCUGCCGGAGGAACUCACCGAUGGGACUUUGCCCAGAUCUUUCAAGGAUUUGUGAGCUCCUCACACAAUCCAGCCUGGUUAAACCCAGGAUGGAUCGUAGGCAGGCCAGCCUAAAUGUUUCCAACCGACGAAGUUGCUCCAUUAGGGGGGUCCACGUUUCGCAAGCGUAGAGAAGGGAGGGAAUGACCGUGGCCGAGAAGACCUGAAGCUUCGUGCGGAGGUAGCUUCCACACAGCGUUACGCAACCGAUGAAAAGAUAAUGCCGCUCGACUGAUUCGGAGUGAGACCUCUGCUGAUAAACUGGAGCCGGUCAUAAGCACACUGCCCAGGUAUGGGAAACUCUCCACUCUCUCCACAACUGCCCCAUCACCGAUUGGGAGUUGUGGGGGUGGAGUGUCUGAUGGUACAAAAUACCCAGGCAGGUGCUUAGUUUUGGUGGGGCUGAUGGUAAGACCCCACCUCUUAGUGGCACGCUCCAGUUUCAGCAGCAGCGUCUCCAACUCCUCUUCUGAAUGAGCAGCUAUUACCAAAUCAUCGGCAUACAUAACGUGGUCGAUCAGCCUCCCAUUAUAUCUGUACCAAAUGGAAAUUCCCCCGGUACAGAUAUUGAAGGCUUCACGAACUACGCAGUCGAAAUAGAUGUUAAAUAAUGUGGGAGCCUGAGGACAUCCCUGUCGCACCACAAGGUGUACAGGGGAAGGCUCUGAUUCCCGGCCACGUAGUUUUACCCGGGCCCGCUCACCAUCAUGAAGGUCCUUAAUGAUCGUGAGCAGAGGGUCAGGGACUCCGAAAGCACGAAGAACAACCCAGAGCCCAGGCCUACUGAUGGUAUCAUAGGCCUUGACCAGGUCAAUAAAGCAGAGAUGAAGGUCUUGUUGGAAUUCCUACACCUCUGCUGUAGCAGACGGACAGAAAAUAUGGCAUCUGUACAGGACCGCCCUUUCCUGAAACCGCAUUGGGGUUCUGCAAGCCUCUCCUCAGCGUGCCUAGCAAGGCGAUGUUGAAUAAUCCUUGCCAGGACCUUUCCCGGCACACUUAGGAGUGAGAUGCCUCUGUAGUUGUUACAGUCUGUGCGGUUCCCCUUCUUAAAGAGGGGGACCACCAGGGCAUCCUUCCAAUCCUGCGGUACCCGUCCAGCGGUCCAGACUGUUGUUAUGAUGUCAUAUAGGGCAGUCUGUGCACAAGCGCCACCCUCCCUCAGCAUUUCGCUUGGGAGAUCAUCUCUGCCCAGUGCCUUUCCUGGUCUCAGACUCCGGAUCGCCUUCAGUACUUCCUCAACAGAUGGCACCUCAGCCAGCCACUCACAGGGGGUGACCUCCUCCAAUAUUUGAGGCACCGCAGCCUCAGCAGGGUUAUCCCCACUUUGUGCCAUGAUGUUUUCCUGGCUGAGAGAUUUUCCCUCUCCCAGGACCUCACACACACCUAUAUACACUCACACACACCUACACACACACCUCUAGACACUUACACACACCUACACACACACCUCUAUACACACACCUCUAUACACUCACACACACCUACACACACCUCUAUACACUCACACACACUGACACACACCUCUAUACACUUGCACACACCUACACACACACACCUCUACACACCUACACACACCUAUACACACACCUCUAUAUACUUACACACACCUACACACACACCUCUAUACACUUACACGUACACACACCUCUGUACACCUAAACACCUACACACACACCUCUAUAUACCUAAACACCUACACACACACCUCUAUACACGUACACACACCUACACACACCUACACACACACCUCUAUACACUUACACACACCUACACACACCUCUAUACACUUACACACACACCUCUAUACACUUACACACACACCUCUCUACACCUAAACACCCACACACACACCUCUAUACCCUUACUCACACCUACACACACACCUCUAUACACGUACACACACCUACACACACACCUCUAUACCCUUACACCUACACACACACCUCUAUACACGUACACGCACCUACACACACACCUCUAUACACUUACACACCUCUAUACACCUAAACACCUACACACACCUCUAUACCCUUACUCACACCUACACGCAGGAGGAGGUGGUAGUGCGGGAACGAAAGGGCCUGGCUCGUGCGGCGAACGCGAUCCAUGCGCUCCUCCGCAGCAUGAUGCUGUUUUGUUGCGACCGGUCGACCGCACAGUUGGGGUGAUGGAGGUGGUGCGGUGCUUACCAUGACCGCUAUCACCACACGCACCACACCAUCUACCCAACCACCCCGUGAUACACACCACACACACCCCACUCACACCACACACACCACACACACCACUCACACCACACACACCACACACACCACUCACACCACACACACCAGACACACCGCACAUACCGCACACACUACACACACCACACACACCACACACACCACUCACACCACACACACCACACACACCACACGGUUCCCCGGAAAGACGGUGCCACUGGGACCGCAGCCGGGGAAGGAAACUGAGCAGCAGAUGCCAGGACUGGACUGGACAAUGACUGCUGCCAACGGACUAACUCUGUUCAGAGAUAGGAUCAAUCCAAUGUAUUAUGUAAUACUUAUCAUUGUUGUUUUUAUUAUUAACGUCAUGACAUGAACUUAUGAGGAAACAAUGUAACUUUG